GUGAAUCAUCGAAUUUUUGAACGCAAAUUGCACUCUCCUCGGAGAGUAUGCCUGUUUGAGGGCCAGCCUAUAAAAAAUCGACAUCGUUGCUGUUUCGCGGUGGCGUUCGUCGGAAACUGGGUCAUCUUAAAUCCUUUUGAUUUAAGCGACUUAAAAUUUUCUUUUUGUUUCAUUAACGUUUCUAAGAACUAUUUCUUUACACUUUUAAUUUAUCGAUUUUUACUAGACGUUACCAUCAUAUCGGAUCGCGUCUAGUAUCUUUCAUUCA
Molecule: unclassified non-coding RNA, 268 nt
Filed under: Glomus sp.
Lineage: Eukaryota; Fungi; Glomeromycota; Glomeromycetes; Glomerales; Glomeraceae
Description: partial contains 5.8S ribosomal RNA and internal transcribed spacer 2
Rfam family: 5.8S ribosomal RNA (bases 1-65)
Source: RNAcentral